RNAcentral lists this long non-coding RNA (1440 nucleotides) under Urocitellus parryii (Arctic ground squirrel). RNAcentral describes it as "lncRNA (ENSUPAG00010017402.1)". Lineage: Eukaryota; Metazoa; Chordata; Mammalia; Rodentia; Sciuridae. The record is from RNAcentral.
UGUGGUAUCUCUGCAGCCUUCCCCAGCGUGAAUCAGAACAUUACCAACUGUCUGCGCAUCCGUCCCACUUCAUCACCAAAGCCAGGAUGUGACCGCAAAAAGCACAAGCCCGAACUCACGUUUCACCAGAUGCAGUGUGCUCCCUGGACCCGAAGAAACCCUGAAGAAAAGAAAAGCCCCAGGACCCAGCAAGGGCCUGCCAGCUCUGGUUCUCCACGCUGAAGGGUUCUUUCCUGCCUUCCUGAAGGAGUUAAAAACCUUUGGAGAUAAAUUUGAGAGUUAUAUAUUUAAAAAUCAAAUAGGAAGUUGGAGUCUCACUUCUGAGAGAUUCAUUCCUAGUGAGGCCCUGACGACUCCGAUCCAUUCCUGAUGAUCUGCAUUAAUUAUUUAAUGAGUCACGUGAUCUCAAAGAUUACAAUUUCAAUAUCUCCCUGGAACAGGCGCUACACCUUUAUCAGCUGCAGCCAGGAUCCUUGUUUGGCUUUUUUGCUCCCCAGGCUUCAGGAGUGCAUUCACCCUUGCCCUGAUCCAGCAAGUGACUGCCGAGGAAGUAACAAGAGAGAAAAUGAAAUUGGUUAUUCUGCAUUGUAGACAGUGGGGAACCCACUGCUCUCUCUGGCACCCUGACAUCCAUCACAUCCUGAAUCCAGCAGUCAACCACCUGUCUGAUCACCAAGAGUAGGGCAGUUUGGUUACAUAAUAUACCAGGGCAGCUUUGAUAGUGCAUCAGGCAAGAACUUACCUUCUUCCAGGCUAUACACACCUGUGGCCUUGCACAUCAAGUAUAAGCCUAAAUGUAUACCUUCCAUUCCUGGAAGAAUAACCUCAGCAGAGGGGAAAAUGCCUGUACUUACUCUCAUCUUCCGUGAGAGCAAAGGCUCUACUCAAUCUACCCACUCAUUUACACAAGGAACAUCAGGAUGGGAGAUUAUUCAGCUGCCUCAGUUUCCUCAUUUGUGUAAAUUGAAAAGAUUGAUCAAAAAAUGGUCUCCAGGUCUCUUUCAAUUUGGGAUCUCUUUCAUCUUCAAAAAUCAAUCCUAGAGAGAAAGGGGCUGCUUCAUAAGUCUGGAACUUUCAGAAGAAGGAUGCCAAGAGUUCCAAGCCAGAAGCUGCAGACUAGAUUUCCUGACAGCCCCAGCCAUCUCCCUGAUGCUACCAAGGAGAUAAACCACACAUCUUCUCCUCCUUCUGUUGUUUCCAGCCCAUACUCUUUGAGACAACCAAGAUGCUGUGUCUUUGCCUGAGACCACAUUAUUUGCAAGAAGAUCCCUCUCUCCUUCACAGACUUUUCCCAGAGAAUGCCUUUCAGAACUGCUGUUGAAUUACAAAGAAGUAUUUAUUGUAUGAGGUGAUUAAUGAUUCCUGGGAAAAUUGCUAUUUUCAGCGUGAUUUAAUUUCGUUUUACAAGUACGUGUAGUAGGGGGAGGGUUAAUAAGUUUC